This 218-nucleotide non-coding RNA is filed under the name Heterosigma akashiwo. The record is from RNAcentral. Lineage: Eukaryota; Raphidophyceae; Chattonellales; Chattonellaceae.
CGAUAAUAAUAAUAACAAAAAAUAAUGGUAAUUAAAAAAAAGGAGGAAGGAGGAAGGACAUAAAUAGUGCAGGAAAUGGCAUCAUGUCCCCAUCAUCAUAAUAUCAUUAUCCUAUUUUUUCUGUUGUUGCUGCUUGUAGUGAUCAUCCAAACAAGCAAAUGCUGGUUGGGUCUAGUUUCUUCUGACAACCAAGAAAAAAAAAAGUCAAUCAUUAUUAU